Molecule: long non-coding RNA, 271 nt
Filed under: Homo sapiens (human)
Lineage: Eukaryota; Metazoa; Chordata; Mammalia; Primates; Hominidae
Description: HSALNT0321693
Source: RNAcentral
GGUGGUUUGCUGCACCCAUCAACCCAUCAUCUACAUUAGCAAUUUUUAGGACUUUUCCUCCUGUUGGAAAUUUGAUGAGCAUGAAGAAAAAGCUUAAUGGAAGAAACAAAUCCGAGGAGAGAGUUUAUGGAAAAUGGAGAAAGGACAAUGAGAACCGACAAAGAUUGAAUAAGAGAGAGUAAAGAACAAGAUGAACAGAUAAUAACUCAGAGACCAGAAUGAACUUAUAAAAUAAGGUCUGGUCUUGCCCGGGCUGGAGUGCGGUGGCUUG